Molecule: non-coding RNA, 30 nt
Filed under: Cricetulus griseus (Chinese hamster)
Lineage: Eukaryota; Metazoa; Chordata; Mammalia; Rodentia; Cricetidae
Source: RNAcentral
CUUCCUGAUGUCUUCCUGUUCAUUCUGACA